RNAcentral lists this ribosomal RNA (301 nucleotides) under uncultured bacterium. Its description in RNAcentral is "partial 16S ribosomal RNA". It matches the Rfam family "Bacterial small subunit ribosomal RNA", at positions 509 to 807 of the family's 1533-position model. The record is from RNAcentral.
CAGCCGCCGCGGUAAUACGAAGGGUGCAAGCGUUACUCGGAAUUACUGGGCGUAAAGCGUGCGUAGGUGGUUCGUUAAGUCUGAUGUGAAAGCCCUGGGCUCAACCUGGGAAUUGCAUUGGAUACUGGCGAGCUAGCGUGCGGUAGAGGGUAGUGGAAUUCCCGGUGUAGCAGUGAAAUGCGUAGAGAUCGGGAGGAACAUCUGUGGCGAAGGCGACUGCCUGGACCAGCACUGACACUGAGGCACGAAAGCGUGGGGAGCAAACAGGAUUAGAUACCCCAGUAGUCCCUGUCUCUUAUAC